This is a ribosomal RNA of 255 nucleotides. It matches the Rfam family "Bacterial large subunit ribosomal RNA", at positions 1506 to 1755 of the family's 2925-position model.
CCCGGUUUAAGCGUGUAGGGGGUGUGACCUGGUAAAUCCGGUUACAUAUCAACCCUGAGGCGUGAUGACGAUGCACUACGGUGCAGAAGUAGUUGAUGCCCUGCUUCCAGGAAAAGCCUCUAAGCUCCAGGUAACAUUAAAUCGUACCCCAAACCGACACAGGUGGUCAGGUAGAGAAUACCAAGGCGCUUGAGAGAACUCGGGUGAAGGAACUAGGCAAAAUGGUGCCGUAACUUCGGGAGAAGGCACGCUGGC